RNAcentral lists this ribosomal RNA (428 nucleotides) under Bacteroidota bacterium. RNAcentral's name for it is "Bacteroidetes bacterium partial 16S ribosomal RNA". It matches the Rfam family "Bacterial small subunit ribosomal RNA", at positions 355 to 776 of the family's 1533-position model. The record is from RNAcentral. Lineage: Bacteria; Pseudomonadati; Bacteroidota.
UAGGGAAUCUUCCGCAAUGGUCGCAAGUCUGACGGAGCAACGCCGCGUGAGUGAAGAAGGAUUUCGGUUCGUAAAACUCUGUUGUUAGAGAAGAACAGCGCAUAGAGUAACUGUUAUGCGUGUGACGGUAUCUAACCAGAAAGCCACGGCUAACUACGUGCCAGCAGCCGCGGUAAUACGUAGGUCCCGAGCGUUGUCCGGAUUUAUUGGGCGUAAAGCGAGCGCAGGCGGUUAGAAAAGUCUGAAGUGAAAGGCAGUGGCUCAACCAUUGUAGGCUUUGGAAACUGUUUAACUUGAGUGCAGAAGGGGAGAGUGGAAUUCCAUGUGUAGCGGUGAAAUGCGUAGAUAUAUGGAGGAACACCGGUGGCGAAAGCCGCUCUCUGGUCUGUAACUGACGCUGAGGCUCGAAAGCGUGGGGAGCGAACAGG